UACGUAGGGUGCGAGCGUUGUCCGGAAUUAUUGGGCGUAAAGAGCUCGUAGGCGGUUUGUCGCGUCGACUGUGAAAACCCGAGGCUUAACCUCGGGCCUGCAGUCGAUACGGGCAGACUAGAGUUCGGUAGGGGAGACUGGAAUUCCUGGUGUAGCGGUGAAAUGCGCAGAUAUCAGGAGGAACACCGGUGGCGAAGGCGGGUCUCUGGGCCUUACCUGACGCUGAGGAGCGAAAGCUGGGGGAGCGAACAGG
This 253-nucleotide ribosomal RNA is filed under the name uncultured bacterium. RNAcentral's name for it is "partial 16S ribosomal RNA". It matches the Rfam family "Bacterial small subunit ribosomal RNA", at positions 524 to 776 of the family's 1533-position model. The record is from RNAcentral.